RNA transcript from Equus caballus (horse), 831 nucleotides. It is a transcript of the gene named LLLL and CFNLAS motif containing 1, with no coding region annotated. Lineage: Eukaryota; Metazoa; Chordata; Mammalia; Perissodactyla; Equidae. The record is from RefSeq and is a predicted model, not a curated record.
UGUCACAGAGCUCAUGAAGUCAGAGGUCCUAUGGAAAGGAAGGGAAGAAAUCGGCGCUGGGAAGGGCUCUGCAGGGCAGCAUUCCUGGCAGCCAUCCUGCUGCUGCUGCGGGUGAAGGAGGUGAGGCCUCAGAAAGGGAGUCCAAGCCCCGACGAGAGGAGUCAGAAAGAGAAAACAGCAUCCACAGACCAGGUUCAAGAGCAGUUCGAAGAGCACUUUGUGGCCUCCUCAGUGGGUGAGAUGUGGCAGUUGGUGGACAUGGCCCAGCAAGAGGAGGACAUGACAUCAGAGACGGCAGCUGUUCAUGACCACCUAUUUGACCUAGCCUUCUGCUUUAAUCUGGCCAGCAUUAUAGUUUUUUUAUGAGGGACAUUGAGGCUGAGGUGGUGGCCUGGUUCCUGGAUGAGGACCUAGAUGUCUACCUCCGCUUCAUGAUAGCUUACUGACCGUCUCUCCCAACUGGGCUCCAGGCAUAAAAUGUAGCAGGAAAGAGUCAUUAAGAGACAGGCAGAAGCCAAACGCUAGCUUUUAUUUUUGGAACAAAAGAAAAUCACUGUCUGACAUGGGAACAAGUCAAGAAGAGCUUUUCUUGGUGUGGGUUGGAGAAUGAUAGAAGGAACUAGAUGAAGACUGGACUUAAAAGAUUAAACAAAACAGAUUCAUCUACUUUCACAAUCAAGAAAUCUCAGCUCAUCUUAAAAUGUGUUUUCUAAGCACAACAAAGCUGGAAUCCAAGACUUUCUUUGCCCUGAAGGUAACUCUCUCACCAGGUGUGAUUUUUACCCUUACAUAAACCUGCUCACACUGGAAUGAAUGGUGGUUUGCUUCCCU